Oncorhynchus mykiss (rainbow trout) is the source of this 1321-nucleotide RNA transcript. It is a transcript of the gene named cyclic GMP-AMP phosphodiesterase SMPDL3A-like, with no coding region annotated. NCBI's taxonomy places the organism in Eukaryota, Metazoa, Chordata, Actinopteri, Salmoniformes, Salmonidae. The record is from RefSeq and is a predicted model, not a curated record.
UGAAGGUGCGGAGGGCUUCUGUCCUGCAUGGAUUCUAAGCACCAGAAGACUGCUUAUACAGGAUAUAACAUGGAAGACUGACACGUGUUUUUUUAAAGCAAGGUUUGACUCCAAACCAGUCCUAUCAUGCCUAAGCAUGCUAUUUCUCCUGUCAUCCCUCUGUAGAUUGUCAUUGCUCAUGUUCCAGUGGGUUACUUGCCCUAUGCCAGGAACACCAAGGUCGUCAGAGAACUCUACAAUGAGAGACUUGUGAAGAUAAUUCACAACUACAGGGAGAUCAUCUCAGGGCAUUUCUAUGGCCACACUCACAGAGACAGCAUAAAGUUCUUGCAGGAUCAGCAAGGGGAGCCGGUUAGUUCCCUGUUUGUCACACCGGCUGUUACUCCAAUCAAAAAGGCAGAAGAGCCGUACUCCAACAAUAGAGCCUUCCACAUGUAGCAUUAUGACACAUAGGACUACGGGCUGCUGGAUAUUUGGCAGUACUACUUGAAUCUCAUCGAAGCAAACCAAGAAAAAAGAUCUGACUGGAAACUUGAAUACGUAAUCACUGAACCACUUGGAUGAAAGGAUAUUCAACCACACAGCUUGUUUCAACUUGCCCUGAGUUUUGAGUUGGGGCAAAGUGAAACGUUUCAGAAGUAUUUUUGCCAUUUUAUGGUGAACUAUGAUGUGUGUGAUGGGGCCUGCAAGCUGACUCAGGUCUUUGCGGUGCAGCCCUUGGACUAUACCUCCUAUAUCAAACAUAUUGAAAAGGGACACUAAAACAGGGAUAUUUUUAUUGUGAACUACUGUAAUGUAAAAACUCAGGGAUUUUAUUAAUGCUGUACAGACAUUUCUUACCUUUAUUUAACUAGGCAAGUCAGUUGAGAACAAAUUCUUAUUUUCAGUGACAGCCUAGAAUCAGUGGGUUAACUGCCUGUUCAGGGGCAGAAUGACAGAUUUGUACCUUAUCAGCUCAGGGGUUUAGAACCUGCAACCUUCCAGUUACUAGUCCAACAGCUCUAACCACUAGGCUACCCUGCCGCCCCAAUAUGUUUUCACAUGACCAUGAAAUAUAAAUGUAUAAUGUAAUACUUUCAAUUUAAUGGUGACAAUUUAAGCAUCUCUGAGGUCGAAAUAAGGACACGAUACCAGAUGAGAAUGCUGAUGAUUAUAUAAUCGCAAAAGGCCAAAUAUUGUGUCCAACUUUUUUUGGACCUUUUAUUGAUUUCUCUUUGACAUGUUGAAAUCAAAGAGAAAUCGAUCGCUAACUGCUAAGUACACUGUAUGGUUAUUGCUUUUAAAAUGUCUGGCAGUUAUUGAAUAAACUGUAAACUGUGAA